This 406-nucleotide ribosomal RNA is filed under the name uncultured bacterium. RNAcentral's name for it is "partial 16S ribosomal RNA". It matches the Rfam family "Bacterial small subunit ribosomal RNA", at positions 29 to 526 of the family's 1533-position model. The record is from RNAcentral.
AGUGAACGCUGGCGGUAGGCCUAACACAUGCAAGUCGAACGAGUGGCGGACGGGUGAGGAAUACAUCGGAAUCUACUCUGUCGUGGGGGAUAACGUAGGGAAACUUACGCUAAUACCGCAUACGAUUGAAUGAGCCGAUGUCGGAUUAGCUAGUUGGCGGGGUAAAGGCCCACCAAGGCGACGAUCCGUAGCUGGUCUGAGAGGAUGAUAACGAACACUGGAACGGAGACACGGUCCAGCCCCCUACGGAGGGCAGCGGGGGGGAAUAUUGGACAAUGGGCGCAAGCCUGAUCCAGCCAGACCGCGUGGGUGAAGAAGGCCUUCGGGUGGUAAAGCCCUUUUGUUGGGAAAGCGGUACCCAAAGAAUAAGCACCGGCUAACUUCGUGCCAGCCGCCGCGGUAAUUC